UCCCUGGUGGCUCAGACGGUAAAGCGUCUGCCUGCAAUGCGGGAGACCCAGGUUCGAUUCCUGGGUCGGGAA
Molecule: transfer RNA, 72 nt
Filed under: Bos taurus (domestic cattle)
Lineage: Eukaryota; Metazoa; Chordata; Mammalia; Artiodactyla; Bovidae
Also listed under: 6 other names
Rfam family: tRNA
About the family: Transfer RNA (tRNA) molecules are approximately 80 nucleotides in length. Their secondary structure includes four short double-helical elements and three loops (D, anti-codon, and T loops). Further hydrogen bonds mediate the characteristic L-shaped molecular structure. tRNAs have two regions of fundamental functional importance: the anti-codon, which is responsible for specific mRNA codon recognition, and the 3' end, to which the tRNAs corresponding amino acid is attached (by aminoacyl-tRNA synthetases). tRNAs cope with the degeneracy of the genetic code in two manners: having more than one tRNA (with a specific anti-codon) for a particular amino acid; and 'wobble' base-pairing, i.e. permitting non-standard base-pairing at the 3rd anti-codon position.
Source: Rfam by way of RNAcentral